Lolium rigidum is the source of this 2450-nucleotide long non-coding RNA. RefSeq lists it as uncharacterized. The record is from RefSeq and is a predicted model, not a curated record. Lineage: Eukaryota; Viridiplantae; Streptophyta; Magnoliopsida; Poales; Poaceae. The transcript is spliced from 3 exons.
GACCUCUGGCCGCUUUAAUGGUUCGGCUGCGUCGCAAUUGGUGGUGUUGCCUGGUCGUCAUUGUACUGCUAGCUCCUGUUAAACUUUAUCGCGGUUCAUACGAGUGAUCGACGUGUUGGUGGGUGCCGCCGACCUCUGGGAUGCACUCUUGAAGGCGUUAAUGAUUUCACCCAUCCUGCCCAUUGGACGCAUCCUCAGCCCUCUUUGUCUUAGGUCAUAGUAGUAUUUACUUCUUUUCUUCCUCUGCCGUUAAUGCAAUUGCUGUCACUCUAUCUCAGGUAAUACCGUAAUGUGCAUGCCACCGUGAAUCGAUCUCCUGUGUUUUGCCUCACAGGGAUCUCUUUACUCUCUGUACUGAAGACACGAAAUUGCACACAGGUCAAAAGAACAAUGCAUAUGGAAUUGUUGAAAUUUUAUCACGCCCGAUUCAAUAUUGGAAAACCAUUUGCAUGCGUCUAGCAGUACAGAAAUCAGGAUACAUGGAUGAAUCUACAUGAACUGGUUUUCAUUGCUAUAGACCGUGACGUAUCCCACUUAACACACAACUCACUACUUAACACUUGAUUUUGUUUAUCCUUACACCGUUACAUGGAUGUGGAGUUAGCCCAGUUUAAUGGCUGUUUUAUUCAUGAGAUUUCAAGUUCUGGAAAACAUAAUAUAUGCUCUGCUUUUCCAGGUUCAUUAUUGUCCAGCUUCUUUGAUAGCCUGUCUUUCGUACGAUCAUUAUAAUGCACAUUUACAAGUAUCUAAUUGUGUUCCCAUAUCCUAAACAUUCUGAACCAAGCUACUCUUAUUUGUUUCACGCUUUAAACAAUAUGAAAAAAAAUCUUCAAUGUUAUUAUGAUAAAAUGCCAAUGAGGUACAGCUGCGCACAGGAAAAAGCCGAUAGUGGCGUCCCAUGUCGUCCCCUGCUGGCAACCUGGGAACGAACCUUAGCCGUCGGGCAACCGCUCCACCUCCACCCUUUCAGCCUUGCCGCUUCCUGGCAAAUCCCGUGGGGUGUUGGUGGGCUCUUCCUUUUCCACUCACGAGGUGUGCUGGGGUGUUGCGUCUUUGUUGCUAUUUGUCUUUAUAUUAUGCUCUUCUAAAAUGAUUAUGGUGAAUCAUCUUUAUAUUAUGCACUGAAGCUUCUUACUAUAAGAAAAAUACUUUUAACAUUUACACCUUUGAUAUUGUAGUCUUGCCUGCCAUGUUAAUUGCAGUGCUUAAUCUUUUUUGCUUGCGGAUGCUCAUUAGGCGGAGGGGCUAAGCAAGAAGUUGCAUUGGUAAUGUUUUCCUCUUCCUUCUACUUUGUUCAGUUCAGCAACACCUUUUAUGGUUGUUUAAUAAUAUGCCAUGCUGGUGUUGGUAGACAUAUGUAACUAGACUGCAGUUGAUAUAUAUCUCUUGACAUCAAAUGCAGUUUCCUAAACACCUCCCCUCCCUGCCACUUUAUAUACAUGAUGAUGUAAAACCAUUCGAAUGCCAUUCAAUUACAUAGCAGAUUUCCCAUUCUUGGACAUCCUUCGGGAAGGAGAGACUUACCUGAAAAGGAAAACCAUAAUAAACAUGGAAAAUAAAACAAGAACAAACUAUUAGAGGCCUGUUGCAUGUUGGUGUCAUGGCCACUCUGAUUAUAUAUCAAUUAUUUGCCAUCUUGAGUGCUCCUUCUUUAUAUUUAACCUUUAUAAAUUCUUGCACCUUCAUCUAUAUAACAACCUAUUUAUAUUUUAUUUUAAUCAUACAUAGCUAGCUUACACCAUUUCAUGACUGCAACCUAUUGAGCACUAUACUGGCAAAUUUAAAAAGCAUAUAUAGGCAUUCGAGAAAAUGAAAUGCCAACUAGAUCUUGGCAAUAAAAUCACUGCUUACAAGUGUACUGCCCUGUGUGUUGCUGAUGAAGCUAUACCAGCCAUGGUGCGGAUCAAAGUGUUACCGUUGUAUCUUACAGAUUUGGCAAAAUAUCCCAGAUGGCAAGUACAUGUGUCUAUCUAGGGGCAAGACCAUAUAACUGUAGUAUUAAGUGAGUAUUUUACUCAGUACUGAUGUGGUGAGCUUUUAUACAGUAUAUAGUACCUUGAUUCCUACUGGUUUACACAAAAUGAGUACUGAUUGUUUAAAACUAACUGCAAUACCAAGAUGAUGUUUAGGUAGCUAAAUUUAGGUGUGUGCAAAUGGUGUUCAAGCUACCUACAAGAGCUGAUGCAUUUCCAGAGAAGACAAUCUAGAUAAUAGUGUUAGCAAUAGUGGAGAUAAGAACAACUAGAUAAUUCAUGCCCUGUGUAAUGCAGAUCCAUCCAGUAUGUAAUCCAGUAGGUAUGUGCAACGGCACCAUUCAAUCCAGCAGGAAUAUCUAACUCCUGUCAAAAUGUGUACCUGCUUCGUCCCGCUCCGUCCAAUGUAUCCACGUGGUUUUGCUAAACAUUAUCAACCAUGUAAACCAAUGUAAAUAACUGCUAGCACUGUCAACU